UACAGAGGGGGCAAGCGUUGUUCGGAAUUACUGGGCGUAAAGGGCGCGUAGGCGGCCAACUAAGUCAGACGUGAAAUCCCUCGGCUUAACCGGGGAACUGCGUCUGAUACUGGAUGGCUUGAGUUUGGGAGAGGGAUGCGGAAUUCCAGGUGUAGCGGUGAAAUGCGUAGAUAUCUGGAGGAACACCGGUGGCGAAGGCGGCAUCCUGGACCAAUAUUGACGCUGAGGAGCGAAAGCCAGGGGAGCAAACGGG
RNAcentral lists this ribosomal RNA (253 nucleotides) under uncultured bacterium. Its description in RNAcentral is "partial 16S ribosomal RNA". It matches the Rfam family "Bacterial small subunit ribosomal RNA", at positions 524 to 776 of the family's 1533-position model. The record is from RNAcentral.